UAAUUGAAGAGUUUGAUCAUGGCUCAGAUUGAACGCUGGCGGCAGGCCUAACACAUGCAAGUCGAGCGGUAACAUUUCUAGCUUGCUAGAAGAUGACGAGCGGCGGA
Molecule: ribosomal RNA, 107 nt
Filed under: Pseudoalteromonas sp. BDTF-M6
Lineage: Bacteria; Pseudomonadati; Pseudomonadota; Gammaproteobacteria; Alteromonadales; Pseudoalteromonadaceae
Description: partial 16S ribosomal RNA
Rfam family: Bacterial small subunit ribosomal RNA
Source: RNAcentral